AGCAAGAUGGCUGCACCGGUGUCCUGUUCCAUGCGUAUAGGUUUGCCAUCCAACAACGGGGUUACCCAGUAUUCAUGUGAACCCACUGCCAAAAACAAAACAUGGAGUGGCUCUUCUUCUUGUGAUGAGGUGUCUCCUUGGUCAUCCUGGGUCUGCUCUAAGGUAUUACUCCUGUACCAUUUGCACCAUCCAUUGCAGGACACACAGUUUUUCUUAGAGUUAUCCAGAAUCCAUAGUUGUAAAGAAAGCAAUUUUAAAAACAGCCAACAUGAGACCCAGGGUGAUGGUAAUGGAGGAAUGCAGAGAUGCUCUUUGGAGACGUCAAGUGUGGACUUGUUUCAAUAGCUGAAGGCAUUCCAGAAUUCUCCAAAAGAACCAUGAAUGAUUGCAGGAGUGAAUGCCAUCCCCUGAGGAUGUGGAGGUGAAGAAUUCUGAACUAAGGUGUGAAAGAUAGGAACUCACGUGUCCAGUUGCAGAACUAAGAUGCACUCACUGGGACUGUACCAGUAUUUUAAAGAUGAUCUUAAAACCCUAAAAAGGUGUGUGUGUUUUUUAAAAUAUUGGACUUGCAUUCUUUUUCACUUCUCUAUGAUACCUUGAA
Mauremys reevesii (Reeves's turtle) is the source of this 601-nucleotide long non-coding RNA. RefSeq lists it as uncharacterized. The record is from RefSeq and is a predicted model, not a curated record. The transcript is spliced from 3 exons. Lineage: Eukaryota; Metazoa; Chordata; Testudines; Geoemydidae.